Myodes glareolus (Bank vole) is the source of this 2327-nucleotide non-coding RNA. Lineage: Eukaryota; Metazoa; Chordata; Mammalia; Rodentia; Cricetidae. The record is from RefSeq and is a predicted model, not a curated record.
UAAUAAACAGCUAGCUGAAAAAAAUAAUACUAUUAAAAAUGAUAACAAUAAUUUGACAGACAAAAUUCAAUCCAUGUCAAAGGGUGCUAAAAAAUUUAUCUGAAUUCGUAGUGUUGAAUUUACCAAUCAGAAUCUGUUAAAAAAAAAAGUUAUGAUAUGUUAAUGGAUAAGGUAUCUCUACAGAAAGGCAAUGUACAUGUCAUCCAAGUAAUUUCCAAGAAUGAGAUGUUGUCUUUACUGGACAAAUUUCUUACCUUGGAAUCAUACAUGCAAAAUAAGGACCAGAAGUUAAAUAAAUCAAUGAGGACACCAAAACAGCACACAGGACUGGAGAUUUAGACUUUACAAAAGACAGUGGUAAAAUGCUGCCAUUCAUUUGGGCAUAGAUUUUCCCACACAGCAGUCCUGUUUGGCUGCUACCAGCUGACUUCUGUGUCCAGCUAUUUCUGCGCCUGUGGAAGCUCAGGCAGUGCCAAGGGCACAACAGGCAGAGAGAUGCGGGAGACGGAGGCGGAAAAGGUUGAGGAGAUCGCGCCCAGCGCCACCACUACCGCCAUGGGCAACAUGCCCUCUGUCCCAAGUAGGAGGCCCCAGCCUUCUGCCAACUGUCUCAUGUAUCUGUUAAACAGCCAGGGACCUCCGCUGAGUACAUAGUCUGUGAUUUAUAUUUACACUAAAUAACCAUUUUUAAUCUGAGCAUAUCUUUUAGCAUUGAAUCAGAUUUAAACCAGUCACACAGCUCCAAGUGCAACGCGACACCUACUUGCAGGUAACGGUUAUUACACCUACUUCAGCUAACUAAACCACAGGUAAGAUUUAUUAUGGACAAUUUAACCUUUCAAGGUUUCAAUAGCCUCUAUACUUACACCAUGUAUGAGGUUUUGCAAGACUUAUAUAAUUUCCCUCCUUCAUCACUAUUUCUAGAGCUAAUGGGCCAAGCAGUGAUUUAAUUAAUACAGUUUCUGUGUGAUUACUUCUGAUCUCAGCUAGCCAGGUGGCCCAGAACCAAGAAGCGGGCCCCUCCUCCAACAAAGAUUCUGAUCAAAUUAUUAUUACAUCUGUACCUGUGACUACCAGAUCUUCAAUAACAACGUCACUUAUUUAUGUUUCUAAUUCUGGUAUUGUUCAUCUAUAGAAACUUGCCAAAAUACUUGUUUUAUGGUUUCUCCUGAAUUUUUUGUCCUCUCUUCUAUAUCUGUUCAAUUAUCCAGAGCAGUAUAGUUUCUUACAAUAGACAUUAGGAUUUUUCAUUGCUUUGGUAAGGGGUUUCCUCUACAAUGGCUGGAAACUACUCAACCAGAUUUGGCAUAGGGGCCAAAUGUCUGCAAAAGGCCCCUCAUGGACUUUCCCAAUGCAAAGUAUUAUUUUGAAUAUUCCUCAUUGGCCUACAUUUAUUAGUCCAAUGCCUGCCCGUGCCAUAACUUCUGCAUAAUCCAGAAUGGAGGUGCAUUCUGAACGAAUUAUUUUUAGAAAAAACAUUGUUUCUAGGAAUGCCCUGUUGACAAUCUCUUUUAAAGUGACCUUGUUUGUCACAACUAUAACAUUUGACAUUUUGAUUUUUCCUCAAACCUCUGGAAAUCACCUCUCCUAUCCAUGGAGCAUCAUGUUCAUGAGAGUCUAUAUUGAUUGUAUCUCAGAUUCUUUACUCCUUGCCUUUAAUGGCCUAAUUAUCCAUUUGCAUAGAGGAUUGGCAUUUUUAGAAGCCAGAGAUUUAAUUAUUAUUUGUCUAGCUCCUGAAUUUGAUAUCAUUCUGUUUACUGCUGAAGUCAAUCUUUGUAAGAAAUCCAUAAAGGCUUUCUUUGGGCUCUGUAUAACUUUAGUAAAUGACUCAAUUUUCUUUCCUUUUUCUCUGAUUCUGUCCCAAGCACUCAAAGCUGCUGUGUGGCAUAAAUCCAGAGUGCAGUCAUCAUAUACAGUUUGCAUUCCUUUGGAUCAUUUUUGGGACUGAAGGUGUUGUUGAAUCAGUUGCUAAAAAGGAGAAAUGAUUUUGGACUGAGGAUAAUGUUGAAAGGAGGCAGCAAGUGUCAUCUUCAUCAAAAUAUCUUAUCCAGAGCUUUGUUCUUGAAAACCUGCAUUCAAUAUCAGCACAGUACGAUGAAAGAUACAAGUGCAAGGGUUGAGCAGCUGGGAACAAACAAGAGGUCUCCCACAACAACUUCCUGUUGCCUGCAAGAUGUAGGACUCUCAGUUACUUAUCCGGUACCAUGUGUGCCUACAUAUUGCCAUGUCCCCACCAUGAUGACAAUGGACUGAAUCUCUGAACUGUAAGCAAGCCACCACAAUUAAAUGUUUUCCUUUAUAAAAGUUUCUCUGUGGGGCUGGAGAGA